This is a non-coding RNA of Dipodomys ordii (Ord's kangaroo rat), 70 nucleotides long. The record is from Rfam. Lineage: Eukaryota; Metazoa; Chordata; Mammalia; Rodentia; Heteromyidae.
GGGAAUGUGGCUUAGUGGUAAAGGGCUUGCCUAGCAUGCAUGAAGCCCUGGGUUCAAUUCCUCAGUACCA